Sycon ciliatum is the source of this 198-nucleotide long non-coding RNA. RefSeq lists it as uncharacterized. The transcript is spliced from 2 exons. NCBI's taxonomy places the organism in Eukaryota, Metazoa, Porifera, Calcarea, Leucosolenida, Sycettidae. The record is from RefSeq and is a predicted model, not a curated record.
UACGGUAGUCGCUGUAUCCGGUGCAGUUUCUGUGUAGAACUGUACGUGCAUGGAAAAACGGUCGUUAAGAGCAGGUGGUCGCUAAAGCCAGGGGUCGCUUACACCAGGUGUUACUGUACCUACAAAGGAGGCAAAACAGGUAAUUGUGUUAGGUGUACUUUGUGACCAGUGCAACAAACUGGAAACACACCGAGAUAA